This 834-nucleotide unclassified non-coding RNA is filed under the name Hevea brasiliensis (rubber tree). The record is from RNAcentral. Lineage: Eukaryota; Viridiplantae; Streptophyta; Magnoliopsida; Malpighiales; Euphorbiaceae.
UUGAAGGGCUACAUAUUCCACUGCAUUUCAUUUUAUAUGAUCCAUUCAAAACAAAUAUGACCAUACAGGUGCAAGGUCGAUUAAAAUAGCAGAACAUUGCUAUAGUACUUUGAAUGAAGUGAACUAAUUGAAGGCACAUACACACAAUCUCUCUCCCUUUCCUUUUUAAAUAUAUCUGAAUAUAUUGCAGCAAAUGCAUACUAAAUGUUCAUAUGCAGUUGUUAGAGAUUGAACCCUUCACCCUUUACUGGGCUAGUUUAAGGAGAUUAAAUGUCACGGUCGCGCUUGCAUUCAGGAGCGAUGGUAGGAAAGCGGGCGCGAUCAGUGCAGUAGUUGUAAAUGGUAUACUUCUGGCGAAUCCACGCGAGUCUCUGGUAUUGAGCAGCAUCAAGGUCCUGGAACUCCUUCUGAUCCCACCAACGCUUGCCUUGUGUCUCACAGAACUUGGCAUUCACUGAAACCUCACAGCCAUCUGUGUGGAACCCCUUGUAGGAGGCUAUAAAGGGUGCCUUGGACCAGUCUGUCUUCUCCAAACCACCCCUAGUAGCCCAAUCGUCUGCAUUCCACAGGCUCGAGUAUAACUUCAUUGGCUGGUUGAAUGGGAACCUUACUCCCAAAUCUUUGCAGUUCUUGAACACCCUGAUUGGCACAUCAUCCACAAAGAACACAAUCUGAUACAUGUUCCACAGUACAGAGUAAGUGUGGAAUUCCUUGGUGGGAUCAAACCAGAGAUAAAUUCUCUGCUCUCUAUCUCCCUUGCCUCCUGUGAACACAUUUGUCUGCAAGAUGUAGGGCUGCCCAGUUCUGUUUCCCAAGAACUCAAAGUCUAUCUCA